UGGACGACAUGGGUUCCCGCCGCCGCCGCGCCGCAGGAGUUUCAUUAUUUCAUUUCAUUUUUAUCAAUAGUAAAAGAAGUAAAAGUAAAAAGUGAAAAAAAGUUAUACUUUAUAGUUUAUACUCGACUCGACUUGAGACUUGAACGAUACCAUAAUUACCCUAAAAAUCAAAAUUGAAAAGAAAUUAUCUACGAACUAACUGCGAACGAUGAAGACUUGCAAACAGAAUAAGAGAUGAUUAUCAAAAAAAUACUCAAACUUCGUAGAACUUACAAAACAGCAUUAUUUUCCAGCACUGGUGUCACACACAACACGAAAGAACACUGAACAUUUGUCGCAAAAAACUCAGAAAACUACAAAAGUAUAGAAGUAAUCGCGCAUCAACUUCACUAUACAGAAGAACCUAACACGUCCUGCGGGUAAUCUAUAACACCAAACACACGUAUCACUACUCCGGCGAUCGAAUUAAUUAAGUAUGGAACUUUCGGCGUUUGCAGUACUUUCACCAAGCCAAGCGUACAGGAAAACUGGACGCUUAUCGAAUCGAAAUGGAAAUGGAAUCGCAUUGUAACAGAUAUGACGUAAUGGAUUAAACGGUACAUCAGGUCGUGAUUGUUAUGGCGUUAAAGCUGUUCAUUAUAUAAAUUUAUUAGCCAUGUAUUCUGAAUUGGCACGCCUCCGUUAUGAAUUUAUCACAUUAGAGUU
This is a long non-coding RNA of Planococcus citri (citrus mealybug), 705 nucleotides long. RefSeq lists it as uncharacterized. The transcript has 4 exons. The record is from RefSeq and is a predicted model, not a curated record. NCBI's taxonomy places the organism in Eukaryota, Metazoa, Arthropoda, Insecta, Hemiptera, Pseudococcidae.